RNAcentral lists this transfer RNA (69 nucleotides) under Herpetotheres cachinnans. RNAcentral's name for it is "tRNA-Ala". It matches the Rfam family "tRNA". From Rfam's summary of the family: Transfer RNA (tRNA) molecules are approximately 80 nucleotides in length. Their secondary structure includes four short double-helical elements and three loops (D, anti-codon, and T loops). RNAcentral also lists the same sequence under 3 other names. Lineage: Eukaryota; Metazoa; Chordata; Aves; Falconiformes; Falconidae. The record is from RNAcentral.
AAAGCUCUAGCUUAAUUAAAGUGUCUGGGUUGCAUUCAGGCGAUGUGGGUUAGUAGCCCACGGGCUUUA